RNAcentral lists this ribosomal RNA (385 nucleotides) under uncultured bacterium. RNAcentral's name for it is "bacterial SSU rRNA". It matches the Rfam family "Bacterial small subunit ribosomal RNA", at positions 28 to 412 of the family's 1533-position model. The record is from RNAcentral.
GACGAACGCUGGCGGCGUGCUUAACACAUGCAAGUCGAGCGGUAAGGCCCUUUCGGGGGUACACGAGCGGCGAACGGGUGAGUAACACGUGGGUGACCUGCCCUCAGCUCUGGGAUAAGCCUGGGAAACCGGGUCUAAUACUGGAUAUGACUCCAUGACGCAUGUUGUGGGGUGGAAAGCCUUGUGCGGCUGAGGAUGGGGCCCGCGGCCUAUCAGCUUGUUGGUGGGGUGANGGGCCUACCAGGGCGACGACGGGUAGCCGGCCUGAGAGGGCGACCGGCCACACUGGGACUGAGACACGGCCCAGACUCCUACGGGAGGCAGCAGUGGGGAAUCUUGCGCAAUGGGCGAAAGCCUGACGCAGCGACGCCGCGUGAGGGAUGAC